This 501-nucleotide ribosomal RNA is filed under the name uncultured bacterium. RNAcentral's name for it is "partial 16S ribosomal RNA". It matches the Rfam family "Bacterial small subunit ribosomal RNA", at positions 29 to 523 of the family's 1533-position model. The record is from RNAcentral.
AUUGAACGCUGGCGGCAUGCCUUACACAUGCAAGUCGAACGGCAGCACGGGUGCUUGCACCUGGUGGCGAGUGGCGAACGGGUGAGUAAUACAUCGGAACGUACCUUAUCGGGGGGGAUAACGCAGCGAAAGCUGUGCUAAUACCGCAUACGCCCUGAGGGGGAAAGCGGGGGAUCGCAAGACCUCGCGCGAUUAGAGCGGCCGAUGCCUGAUUAGCUUGUUGGUGGGGUAAAAGCCCACCAAGGGGACGAUCAGUAGCUGGUCUGAGAGGACGAUCAGCCACACUGGGACUGAGAUACGGCCCAGACUCCUACGGGAGGCAGCAGUGGGGAAUUUUGGACAAUGGGGGCAACCCUGAUCCAGCAAUGCCGCGUGAGUGAAGAAGGCCUUCGGGUUGUAAAGCUCUUUUGUCAGGGAAGAAACACCGGCUCUAACACAGUCCGGGAAUGACGGUACCUGAAGAAUAAGCACCGGCUAACUACGUGCCAGCCGCCGCGGUAA